UCCCUGGUGGCUCAGAUGGUAAAGCGUCUGCCUAUAAUGCGGGAGACCCAGGUUCGAUCCCUGGGUUGGGAA
RNAcentral lists this transfer RNA (72 nucleotides) under Bos indicus (zebu cattle). It matches the Rfam family "tRNA". Rfam says of the family: Transfer RNA (tRNA) molecules are approximately 80 nucleotides in length. Their secondary structure includes four short double-helical elements and three loops (D, anti-codon, and T loops). Lineage: Eukaryota; Metazoa; Chordata; Mammalia; Artiodactyla; Bovidae. The record is from Rfam by way of RNAcentral. RNAcentral also lists the same sequence under 2 other names.